ACGGAGGGUGCAAGCGUUAUCCGGAUUUAUUGGGUUUAAAGGGUCCGCAGGCGGACUUGUAAGUCAGUGGUGAAAGCCUUCAGCUUAACUGGAGAAUUGCCAUUGAUACUGCUAGUCUUGAGUUCGGUUGAAGUGGGCGGAAUAUGUAGUGUAGCGGUGAAAUGCAUAGAUAUUACAUAGAACACCUAUUGCGAAGGCAGCUCACUAAGCCGAUACUGACGCUCAGGGACGAAAGCGUGGGGAGCGAACAGG
Molecule: ribosomal RNA, 252 nt
Filed under: uncultured bacterium
Lineage: Bacteria
Description: partial 16S ribosomal RNA
Rfam family: Bacterial small subunit ribosomal RNA
Source: RNAcentral